RNAcentral lists this transfer RNA (129 nucleotides) under Salinispora tropica CNB-440. Its description in RNAcentral is "tRNA-Und (NNN) (tRNA-Und-NNN-1-1)". It matches the Rfam family "tRNA". From Rfam's summary of the family: Transfer RNA (tRNA) molecules are approximately 80 nucleotides in length. Their secondary structure includes four short double-helical elements and three loops (D, anti-codon, and T loops). Lineage: Bacteria; Bacillati; Actinomycetota; Actinomycetes; Micromonosporales; Micromonosporaceae. The record is from RNAcentral.
GGGUCGCUAGCUCAACUGGCUAGAGCAUUCGACUGAGUAGCGCGUCCACUCUCCGCCUGUGCGGUCAUGGAGGCGCUUCCUUCUCCUUGCUGGAUCGAAGGGUUCGGGGUUCGAGUCCCCGGCGACCCA